UCCCAGAUUACAUCUCCCACUUCUUUUGGCCAUACUGAAUUUAUCCUGAUAGGUGUGUGCCAAGCAGAGCUGUGCAGAAGGAGAUCUGCAGCACCGGCUGAUUAACUGGGCGACUCUGUGGCGCCUACAACUGAGGCCUUCUUCAUCUCUUUGUUUUUGUUCUCUCCUUUUCUUGCUGGAAGUUUGUCAGUUUUGAUAGUCUUUUCAAAGAAGCAACUCUUAACUUGGUUUAGGCUGUCAGUGGGAUAAUGUGUUUCCUGAAAGAUAGCUUUGCUGAGCACACAACUCGGGCUCCCCUCAUUUUCUGUAGAAUUCUCAAAGGCGUUAUUCGAAGUCUUUCAGCCUCCUUUGAUGGGUGGAGGGUCAGCUGCUCUUCUGACUGUCAUUCCAUCUGUCUCUUCUCUCUGCUGGUUUUCCCUAGGAUUCUUUGUCUUUUAUAUCUUCCAGCAGCAUGCUACAGAGUCUUCUAGGUGGGGCUGUUUUCCCCAGUCUCCAUUCUAUUGCAGUGCAAUCCUCAUCUGCCAUGAAUUUUGUGGACUGGCCAGACUCAUGCUUCUGACCCUGCCAAGGACCUUGUCAGAGGUUGAUAGACACCCUGUGCCCCUCCCCAGGCCAGGGGGAGGCAGGGAUGCCGGUCAGUGCUGGACAAUCUCUUCAGUACUUUUCUUUCAGCUUGCAAAUAUUCAUUUCACUGUUUUAAAUAUGCCACUUACCUUAUGCUCUGACUUUUUAAUUUUUAAUUUUAUAUUUUUAAUUUUCUAAAUUCUACUUGGUCCUUUUAAAGAUAAACUGGUCAUUUUUAUUAGUCAAUUGUUUCCUUUUUUUAGUCAAAUAUUUCUUAAUCACAUUUUUAAACUCUUAUUUUUUAACAUUAAUAUUCUGGAUCUGUAAUUCCAAUAUCUACAAUCUUGUGACUAUGACUACUAUUUAUUCUGCUAAUAUUUUCCUGCUUCAUUCUCUGUGUUUCAAUUGCAUGCAUGCACACAUGUGCAUGUGUGUGUGAAGUGUUGUCACUGAGGGUUCUUUGGGACACGAGGUGAAGUCGAGUUCUUUAAGACUGGAUCCCGGGUUGUGACCCAGUUCUCUCUUCUUGGAUGGAACUGCUCUCCUCAGUCCAUCUAGGGCAGAAGGCAAUACAGCAGGACAUCGCCUUCUUGUGGAACACAUGGAGUGUCUUGGUCCACUUCCCCCAGAGCAGGCAGCUGUAAGGGAAAUGGUUUGGGCGGUGGCCUCCAGCACGUGCCCAAGGAGACUUCCAGGAAAAUGGAGGAGUGGUGGGCAGCAGAGAAAGAAAUGCUCCAAGUUUCGGUGUUCAGAUCCUCAAAUACGGCAACAUGAAGAAGAGGAGGUGGAAGGAGAGGUCCUGCAAGCUUCUGGGGAGAAGCAGCAAAGAAAUAACACAGCCCCCACGCUCUGUGCACCGGCAGAGGCCACAUCAGCCUGGAGAAGCAGCAAGAAAGCGUCCAGCCUGGAGUGCUGGCAGAGGCCCUGUUGGCCAGGGAGAAACAGCAAAGAAGCCCUCUGCUUCCAUGCCCCCACCAUUUCCAGGCCUGGGGCCAGCAUCUGGUUAACUAUUUAGAAGACAACAAUAUGUAACAUAGUAACGAUUGUGGAUUUCCUACUGUCCUAUUACUUUUUAGUUGUGUUUCAUUUUACCAUUCUGUUUUACUCCCUUGAAAAAAAUUAUAGUUCACUUUAUUAAGUGGAAGCUUAGUAGUAUGGUUAGCUAUCUUGCACACACACAAAAGAGAAAGAAACCUUAAAAGAGCAGUAACUAAACUUGCAAAGGGAAGCCUUAAUAAUACAUUAAGGCUCCUUAAGUAUGUUUAACCUGUGUCACACUGUAGAUCUUAAAUAUCUCCGACUUGCUCCAGCCUGCUGUGCCACUGGGAAGGGCGGAACUUUUGGGGGUAGAGCCAGGUGGAAGGAAGUGAGGUCAUGAGGGUGUGGCUUUGAGGGGAAGUUGGGACCCUGGUCACUUCCAUUACAUUUCCCUGUACCAACAACACAGACCCUAAAACAGGGAUGCCAACCAUCCAAGCAUGGACGGGAACCUCUGAAACUGUGAGCCAAAAUAAAUCU
Long non-coding RNA from Cavia porcellus (domestic guinea pig), 2082 nucleotides. RefSeq lists it as uncharacterized. Lineage: Eukaryota; Metazoa; Chordata; Mammalia; Rodentia; Caviidae. The record is from RefSeq and is a predicted model, not a curated record. The transcript is spliced from 5 exons.